GGAACACUUAUGGUUACCUUAGCAUUGGGAACUAGUUUCAGUAUUCGAUCAGCAACUCGACAACCAUUUAGACUUCGAACAGUUGGUCCAUCCACAUUACAGAGUACAGAUUGGUCUGAGAUAUCCAAAUCUUCAGGAAUAACCAAGAGAGUUAUACUUGCAUAAAGAAGAUCAAUUGAAAUUCCUUGAAAUUUGAAUUUCAUA
Molecule: unclassified non-coding RNA, 204 nt
Filed under: Hevea brasiliensis (rubber tree)
Lineage: Eukaryota; Viridiplantae; Streptophyta; Magnoliopsida; Malpighiales; Euphorbiaceae
Source: RNAcentral